UGGUGAGCAGCCUCGCACCCGGUGACAGCAGGCGGGCCAUGCGCACAGCUGAGUAGCCACAGUAGGCCCCCAGCUCCAGCAGCAUGGAGGGCUGGUGCUCCUGAAUCACAGCGUCCACGAUCUUGCCUGUGCAAGUAGGUGUCGAUGGCCUCCAGCACGCUCUGUGCGUUCCCAGGCUCCGCAUGCUGCAGCACGUGGUGCAGGAUGCGCUGCUCCUUGGUGUCACCCAUGAGCAGGUUGCGGAUGGGCUGCAGGACGAACUCGUUCCAGCAGAUAAGGCACAGGCCCCAGCCCCAGCGCCUCAGGAGCAACAGCAGCACCACCAGCACCAGGCCUAGGAACACAGCGGCCAGCAGCAGAGGGCAGGACGUGCCCACAGGGCUCGUGGGGAAAAAACAGGAGAUGGCGCUUCCCUAAGGACAGUGUCCUUAUUCUGGCAGGAAGAUGACAAGGAACCACGGUGGAGAGAGACCAUGCAGACCUGAAGCCGCCAGAACUUUCCACCUUGCUCCUUUCUUCACGGUGGGGAUUUCCUAUGACAUACCUUGUUGCUUUGUUUACUACUAUUUAUCUGCUAUUGUUUAGUUAUCUAUAAUGACUACUACUGAUAUUUGUGUGGUCAGAUAAUGGGCCAUUUUGUUUACUCUCCAUAUUUAAAAAACAGUAAGUGUUAGAAAUAAACACCCCAAAUUAAAAGGGUUAUUCUGCUGAAACAGCAAAUUACUUGGUAGACCUUGGAGUCCCAAAUUAUAAAUCCAAAU
This is a long non-coding RNA of Rhinopithecus roxellana (golden snub-nosed monkey), 761 nucleotides long. RefSeq lists it as uncharacterized. The record is from RefSeq and is a predicted model, not a curated record. Lineage: Eukaryota; Metazoa; Chordata; Mammalia; Primates; Cercopithecidae. The transcript has 3 exons.